This is a small nuclear RNA of Centropristis striata (black sea bass), 84 nucleotides long. Lineage: Eukaryota; Metazoa; Chordata; Actinopteri; Perciformes; Serranidae. The record is from RefSeq and is a predicted model, not a curated record.
GUGUUGUAUGAAAGGAAAGAAGGUUAGCACUCCCCUUGACAAGGAUGGAAUUGGUCCCUGUGGCAACCAACACAUUAAUUUUAU